UAUUGGACAACGGGGGAAACCCUGAUCCAGCAAUGCCGCGUGUGUGAAGAAGGCCUGAGGGUUGUAAAGCACUUUAGGUGGGGAGGAUGGUAGAGCAGGUUAAGAGCUAGUUUUAUUGACGUUACCCGCAGAAUAAGCACCGGCUAACUCCGUGCCAGCAGCCGCGGUAAUACGGAGGGUGCAAGCGUUAAUCGGAAUUACUGGGCGUAAAGAGUGCGUAGGCGGUUGAGUAAGUUAUCUGUGAAAUCCCUGGGCUUAACCUAGGUGGGAAAGAUAAAACUGCUUGACUAGAGUGUGGUAGAGGAUAGUGGAAUUUCCGGUGUAGCGGUGAAAUGCGUAGAGAUCGGAAGGAACACCAGGGCGAAGGCGGCUAUCUGACCGACACUGACGCUGAGGCACGAAA
This 403-nucleotide ribosomal RNA is filed under the name uncultured bacterium. RNAcentral describes it as "bacterial SSU rRNA". It matches the Rfam family "Bacterial small subunit ribosomal RNA", at positions 362 to 758 of the family's 1533-position model. The record is from RNAcentral.